RNAcentral lists this ribosomal RNA (845 nucleotides) under uncultured archaeon. RNAcentral's name for it is "bacterial SSU rRNA". It matches the Rfam family "Archaeal small subunit ribosomal RNA", at positions 52 to 903 of the family's 1478-position model. The record is from RNAcentral.
UGCGAGUCAUUGUAGCAAUACAAGGCAGACGGCUCAGUAACGCGUAGUCAACCUAACCUAUGGACGGGAAUAACCUCGGGUAACUGAGAAUAAUGCCCCAUAGAACACUAUACCUGGAAUGCUUUGUGUUCCAAAUGAUUUAUCGCCGUAGGAUGGGACUGCGGCCUAUCAGUUUGUUGGUGAGGUAAUGGCCCACCGAGACUAUUACAGGUACGGGCUCUGAGAGGAGUAGCCCGGAGAUGGGUACUGAGACACGGACCCAGGCCCUAUGGGGCGCAGCAGGCGAGAAAACUUUGCAAUGUGCGAAAGCACGACAAGGUUAAUCCGAGUGGUUUCUGCUAAAGGAACCUUUUGUCGGUCCUAGAAACACCGAUGAAUAAGGGGUGGGCAAGUUCUGGUGUCAGCCGCCGCGGUAAAACCUGCACCUCAAGUGGUGAGGAUGAUUAUACGGCCUAAAGCAUCCGUAGCCGGCUCUGUAAGUUUUCGGUUAAAUCUGUACGCUCAACGUACAGGCUGCCGGGAAUACUGCAGAGCUAGGGAGUGGGAGAGGUAGACGGUACUCGGUAGGAAGGGGUAAAAUCCUUUGAUCUAUUGAUGACCACCUGUGGCGAAGGCGGUCUACCAGAACACGUCCGACGGUGAGGGAUGAAAGCUGGGGGAGCAAACCGGAUUAGAUACCCGGGUAGUCCCAGCUGUAAACUAUGCAAACUCAGUGAUGCAUUGACUUGUGGUCAAUGCAGUGGUGCAGGGAAGCCGUUAAGUUUGCCGCCUGGGAAGUACGUACGCAAGUAUGAAACUUAAAGGAAUUGGCGGGGGAGCACCACAACGGGUGAAGCCUGCCGUUC